This 564-nucleotide transfer RNA is filed under the name Piscirickettsia salmonis. RNAcentral's name for it is "16S-23S intergenic spacer". The stretch from base 71 to 144 matches the Rfam family "tRNA". The record is from RNAcentral. Lineage: Bacteria; Pseudomonadati; Pseudomonadota; Gammaproteobacteria; Thiotrichales; Piscirickettsiaceae.
UAUUAUAGACUUGAAGUUGCUUAAGUGUCACACAAAUUGCUUGAUAUUUAGUUAAUGAAGAACGAUUUGAAGGCCUGUAGCUCAGCUGGUUAGAGCGCACCCCUGAUAAGGGUGAGGUCGGUGGUUCAAGUCCACUCAGGCCUACCAGUUUUGGUAGAUAGAUCAUGGGGCUAUAGCUCAGCUGGGAGAGCGCCUGCUUUGCACGCAGGAGGUCUGCGGUUCGAUCCCGCAUAGCUCCACCAUAUCUUCACUCUAAACGAUAUUUUUAUAAGAUUUUAGAAUGCCGUGAAAUGAUUAUUAGAUGAUUAUUUCACGUUGUUUUGACUUGGUUAAAAUAAUGUAUUUUUGUUCUUUAACAAUGUGGUAAAAAGUAUAAGUAAAGAUUCCUUGAUUAAUUUAGGGUUAUUUUUAGUUUUGAUUAAGAUGUAUUUUUAUAUCUUGAUUGAUAAUUGGGAAUAAUUUUUAGUUUAUUUAAUUAACGAGUCUUGGUAAUUUUUGAAAACCGGUGUUGAGAUAUAAUGUUGAUUUGUUUUAUUUAAGAUAAGACUUUUUGGGGUUAUAUGA